This 243-nucleotide ribosomal RNA is filed under the name uncultured bacterium. RNAcentral describes it as "partial 16S ribosomal RNA". It matches the Rfam family "Bacterial small subunit ribosomal RNA", at positions 14 to 248 of the family's 1533-position model. The record is from RNAcentral.
GAUUCCUGGCUCAGGAUGAACGCUAGCUACAGGCUUAACACAUGCAAGUCGAGGGGCAGCGGGAUUGAAGCUUGCUUCAAUUGCCGGCGACCGGCGCACGGGUGAGUAACGCGUAUCCAACCUUCAGUACACUCAGGGAUAGCCUUUCGAAAGAAAGAUUAAUACCUGAUGGUAUCUUAAGCACACAUGUAAUUAAGAUUAAAGAUUUAUCGGUGUACGAUGGGGAUGCGUUCCAUUAGGUAG